AGUGUAGAUGAGACACUCGUUCAGACAAUCACAAACAUGUCAGUCUCCGUCUGAGCCUGCGGGCCUGAAAAUCACACUACAAACUCCAGCCUCAAAACAGGACGAAAAAUAAGGCUUAGUUUCUGCAGGAACAGAACAGUAGGAGUGUAAGUGUGAAAGGAAAGAUAAAAUGAGUUUAUAAAACAGGCUCAGGCAAUCUGAGUGGAUCUGAGCUGUGCUGCUGAACAGUAAUGAGAAGAUGCUCAGAAAGACAUUUAUAUGCAGAUAUAUUCAUAGCUGCGUUAGUGUGCAAUUUCCACCCUGGUGCAUUCUUAACCUGUUGGAUCCUGCUGUGCUUUCACAACAUGAGGAGUUUUUUCUGAAACUCUCACCUGCUCUGCUACAGAUCCAAAUCUCAUACACUAGCUGCUACUUCACACGAUGGUCAAAUCUGAUCUCCUACGACUUCGUCACCAAUUUGUAACCAGAUGGUCGACGAAGGCACAGUCCAUCACGGAAAGAAGAUAUGUGGCACCCACUUUCAGCAACCCACAAAGAGCUCCACAAGGAUGUCUGGAUCGAGUUUAAUAUCAUAAUGAAAUGUAAUGUGCAAAUAAUAACAAAAAAAACUGCUUAUUGGACAAACUAGAAGAAAACACUGAGGUGUGUUUAAAUGUUUUUCCCAGUUUAUAUAGAAGAUAUAUAAAUCUUAGAUAAUAAACUUGGAUAUCUUUGUGCACUUUUCAUCUCUCUCUGUAUCUCUCUCUGACAUUCACAUAAUACCCACUGCCCUGAGGUAAUACACUCAUCUUAACUGACCAGUAACCGAACACACACACACACACACACACACACACACACACACACACACACACACACACACACACACACACACACACACACUCACAAAUGCACACACACAAAC
Tachysurus fulvidraco (yellow catfish) is the source of this 904-nucleotide long non-coding RNA. RefSeq lists it as uncharacterized. The record is from RefSeq and is a predicted model, not a curated record. The transcript is spliced from 2 exons. Lineage: Eukaryota; Metazoa; Chordata; Actinopteri; Siluriformes; Bagridae.